UUUAAAAUACAUUUAACAAAUACAAUCCUUCGGCAAGUAUCCCCUAAUUUCAUAUUAUAAUUGCCAUUACUGUCGUUAGUUACUUAAUGAGUCGAUAAAUAAUGCAAUUGCCACAAGUUAAAAGAUUAGUUCUGUGGAGGGAUUCCAAGGACAGGAACGCGAUAUAAUAAUAAUUUCCACAGUGAGAUCAGAUAAGGAGCAUAUACCUAACGAUGUCAAUGAAGUUCGUAUUAUUUUCCCUCAAGAGAAAGAUACAAAAUUUUAAAGGUUAAACAAAUAUAUUCAAUAAAAUCGUCAAAGGCCUUCGGCUAAAUAUUACUUGAGAGGCUGUUACCGAGCGACAUACGGUCACAAACGUAGGAAUUACGAGCAGAAGACGGGACAUUCGGCAUAAAAGCCCAAGGUCCUCCAUAAGCGUUCUAUUGCGCU
Molecule: long non-coding RNA, 429 nt
Organism: Glossina fuscipes
Lineage: Eukaryota; Metazoa; Arthropoda; Insecta; Diptera; Glossinidae
Exons: 3
Source: RefSeq, a predicted model, not a curated record